RNAcentral lists this non-coding RNA (27 nucleotides) under Mus musculus (house mouse). The record is from RNAcentral. Lineage: Eukaryota; Metazoa; Chordata; Mammalia; Rodentia; Muridae.
UAAGGUAAUUGCUUUGACUGCUUGAGA